Molecule: ribosomal RNA, 526 nt
Filed under: Montanelia disjuncta
Lineage: Eukaryota; Fungi; Ascomycota; Lecanoromycetes; Lecanorales; Parmeliaceae
Description: eukaryotic LSU rRNA
Rfam family: Eukaryotic large subunit ribosomal RNA
Source: RNAcentral
AAUUUGAAAUCUGGCCCUUUCGGGGUCCGAGUUGUAAUUUGUAGAGAGUGUUUCGGGCGAGACCACGGUCUAAGUCCAUUGGAACAUGGCGUCAUAGAGGGUGAGAAUCCCGUCUGCGACCGUGGCUCGAGCCCAUGUGAAGCCUCUUCGACGAGUCGAGUUGUUUGGGAAUGCAGCUCAAAAUGGGUGGUAAAUUUCAUCUAAAGCUAAAUACUGGCUGGAGACCGAUAGCGCACAAGUAGAGUGAUCGAAAGAUGAAAAGCACUUUGGAAAGAGAGUUAAACAGUACGUGAAAUUGUUGAAAGGGAAGCGCUUGCAACCAGACCUGUCCGUAGGUGAUCAGCCGCUGUUCUCAGCGGUGCACUCGCUCUGCGAUCAGGCUAGCAUCGGUUUCGGCGACCGGAUAAAGGCCUUGGGAAUGUAGCUUCCUUUCGGGGGAGUCUUAUAGCCUUCGGUGCAAUGCGGCCAGCCGGGACCGAGGACCGCGCUUCGGCUAGGAUGCUGGCGUAAUGGUUGUAAGCGACCC